CGUCCCGGCAUCAACGUAAACCCCGUGAACAGCAAGUUUUUCCCUAUAAAUGUGCUCACACAUAUCCUCCGUCUUUCACGAUCAAGCCAUUUUCACAGUUGCAUGUAGAAGCGCGAGCACCCCGAUAGAUCCCCACGCCAAUCUCCCUUUCUGCUCUUUUCUUUUUUGCCUCCGCUCAUCUUUUGUUUGAAUUCAUGCCUGUCUUUCCUUGUCCUCCAUUCAAUGGUAAUGGAUCAGGGUGACCAGGACGGUGCAGGUAGAGUACCCGAUACGUUGUCAAUGCCUCAGAGUCGUCAACAGAGCCAGAAGCUCAAAGUGUACUGUGAAGUUCUUCGUCGCCUCAAGAAUUCCAGCAACGACGAGGCUAUACAGCCUGACUUCGAUCAUCAACUUUGGGCUCACUUCAACCGCCUCCCAACACGAUAUGCGUUGGAUGUUAAUGUGGAAAGGGCGGCAGAUGUUCUCACGCACAAGAGAUUGCUGCGUUUGGCUCAUGACCCUGCUCAUAGGCCUGCAAUUGAAGUUCGCCUAGUCCAGAUUUAUCCCAUAUCUGAUGGAAAUUCCGCUGACUCCAUCCAUCCAGAUGUACCUAGGGAAGAAGCUUGUCAAACCUCUCCAAAUUACCCAAGGAGACUGAGUGUUCAUCCUCCUCCUGCUUUUGGUUCUUCUCCUAAUCUUGAAGCCCUGGCACUUGAAGCUGAUAAAUCUGAAGACGAGGAACACUCUGUGCAUGGCAGUGCUAAAUAUUCUCAGCCCAUGCAUGAAAUCACUUUCUCUACAGAUGACAAGCCAAAGCUUCUGAGUCAGUUGACUUCUUUGCUUGCUGAAGUUGGUUUAAACAUCAGAGAGGCACAUGCCUUUUCCACUACUGAUGGUUACUCACUAGACGUGUUUGUUGUUGAUGGAUGGCCCUAUGAGGAAACACAGCAGCUUAAAGAAGCUUUGGAAAAAGAAGUAAUGUUGAUUGAGAGGCACGCGUUUCCUAUUCAACAAUCAGAAUUUUAUGUUGCUAAGACUGAUCGAAUGGGAAUGAAAUGUGAAGAAGCUUAUUUGGUGAUACCAAACGAUGGGUCAGAUGUUUGGGAAAUAGAGCCUAAACAUUUGAAAUAUGGAAAUAAAAUUGCAUCUGGGUCAUUUGGUGAACUAUUUAGAGGUACAUAUUGUAGUCAAGAUGUGGCCAUUAAAGUUCUCAAGGCUGAGAAUUUAAGUUCAGAUUGGAAGAAGGAGUUUGCCCAGGAAGUUUAUAUCAUGAGAAAGGUUAGGCACAAGAAUGUUGUGCAAUUUAUUGGAGCAUGUACAAAGCCACCACACUUUUGCAUAAUAACAGAAUUUAUGUGUGGUGGAAGUGUGUAUGACUAUUUGCAUAAGCAGAAGGGCGUUUUCAAAUUUCCAACCCUGCUCAAAGUAGCGAUUGAUGUUUCCAAGGGAAUGAACUACUUGCACCAGAAUGAUAUUAUCCAUAGAGAUUUGAAGGCUGCUAAUCUCUUGAUGGAUGAAAAUCAUGUUGUCAAGGUUGCUGAUUUCGGUGUAGCUAGAGUGAAAGAUCAAUCCGGAGUUAUGACAGCAGAAACUGGCACAUACCGAUGGAUGGCACCUGAGGUUGUAGAACACAAACCAUACGAUCAAAAGGCUGAUGUGUUUAGUUUUGGAGUAGUUUUAUGGGAAUUGCUCACUGGAAAGCUUCCAUAUGAAUAUUUGACCCCACUACAGGCAGCAAUAGGAGUGGUUCAAAAGGGCCUACGACCCACGAUCCCCAAGAACACUCAUCCAAAAUUUAUUGAGCUUCUUGAGAGGUGUUGGCAGCAAGAUCCAACAUUAAGGCCUGAUUUCUCUGAAGUUAUUGAGAUCCUGCAGGAAUUAGCUAACGAGCAAGCUGGGAAUCAUGGAGAGGAGAAGCGAAGGGAGAGAUCUGCAGGAUUUUUUUCUGCCCUCAGACGAGGCCGAGGUCAUCACUGAAAAGUAGGAGAAUGGACGAUGUUCGUAGUGUAGAUUCUAUUCACUCUCUAGAUUGAGAUGUACAUUCUCUUGAGAUCAUGAUUUCUGAUGUUUAUACCAGUUGAACUGUUCCUUGAAUCAAACAUGCUGGAAGUGGAGCCAAGGUGUAUCCUUGACGCCGACAUACUUUUGCCUGAUGUGGCUAUUGGCCACCUUCCACAUGGCAGUUUCAUUCAGUACAUAGUUACUGGACUAGCAAAUUGCAAUUUAUGGGAUUUUCAUUCACACGCCUUUGGACGAAGACUGUACUAAUUAGUGGUUUGGCGACUGCUGUCUAGUGAGUAGGGUCUUGGAUCCCGUGCCAGCAUGCCUCUGAAACUUUGCGUGCAUUGGCCUAGCAAGUUGCAUCCACUCAACCACGUAAAGCAAAUAGGAUAACUAUCAUAUCGGCAGUAACAUGCAUUCAAGCAUCUCCCUUCCCUC
Molecule: RNA transcript, 2418 nt
Organism: Prosopis cineraria
Lineage: Eukaryota; Viridiplantae; Streptophyta; Magnoliopsida; Fabales; Fabaceae
Gene name: serine/threonine-protein kinase STY46-like
Exons: 17
Source: RefSeq, a predicted model, not a curated record